UACAGAGGUGGCAAGCGUUGUUCGGAUUUAUUGGGCGUAAAGGGUCCGUAGGCGGUUCGAAAAGUCAGAUGUGAAAUCCCACAGCUCAACUGUGGAACUGCAUUUGAAACUUUCGGACUAGAGUAUGAGAGGGGAAAAGGGAAUUCCCGGUGUAAGGGUGAAAUCUGCAGAGAUCGGGAGGAACACCUGUCGCGAAGGCGCUUUUCUGGCUCAUUACUGACGCUCAGGGACGAAAGCUAGGGUAGCAAACAGG
RNAcentral lists this ribosomal RNA (253 nucleotides) under uncultured bacterium. RNAcentral's name for it is "partial 16S ribosomal RNA". It matches the Rfam family "Bacterial small subunit ribosomal RNA", at positions 524 to 776 of the family's 1533-position model. The record is from RNAcentral.